ACUCAACAACAUGAAUACAGAGACAUAAAUCCAGAGUCAUGACAGUUAGAAGAAAUUACUCAAAAGAGCAUGCAUGAGCAUAGUUCUUAGGUUUGUGGCAGCCUGUAAAGAAAAGUUAUUUUUGAAAGUAUAAAAACGUACUGAUGAGGGCUGUAGUUGGCAGCAUCGACAACAAGCGUUGGGCUGAUUGCCUGAUUAGCACCUUGUUACUCCUUCUGUUUAUGUCCGUGUGAUAGAGAUUGCCGAGGAUUGUUAAGCGCCCAGUAGGGUGACGUUCUCUUACAUCUGUGCUUUUUGCAGAUGUGUUGUUAGUCUGAUUAAAUCAGUUUGUGUUCACAAGCAUGUGUUUUUCAACGUAUUCUCAUCCCAGGCCACUAAAUACAGCUUGGCUUUGUAACUCCCCUCAGCGUCUCUUUAGUGUCUAUGUGCAGUGUCAAAGCCUUCCUGUCAGAACGCCAUGUGCUUAAAGCUAAAUAAGACAACUCUGGAAAAAGACAAUUGCGCUGGCGAUGGAGUUUCUCAGGCUUCAGCAGGGAAACCAGAGAUGACUGCUGAAAAUCUGAUUAACUUCAUUUUGGAGGGGAGCAAAACUACGCUGAGAGAACGGAGAGUUGCUGAGACACAUACAGACACUCCAGCACUUCACCUUGGACCCUACUCAUGUCACACUAAUGAAGAAGACCAGCAAGACACCCUAAAGUCCUCAGCACUAUCCAGAAGUACAUCAAGAUUCACAGAGAUGCACCAGGAGGUUCUAAGAUUUGGCUGCAACUGAGGAGCAGGUAUCAUCCAGUGCAGAGAAACCCUCUCCUGUGGUGUUAUCUCCACCAGCACCCCCCCGCUGAGCCGCCAUCUAUUGAGGUUCAGGCCAGGAUUUAUAUAAAGGAGCAGCCCAGCCUGGAUGAAAAGCCUGACCAGAUGACCUGAUGUGGUUCCAGAUCCACAGACACCCCGCUGAACCUUCAAGUAUUAGGGUUCAGGCCAGGGUGAAUAUAAACAAUCUGUGGUAUUUUGUUUGCUCUCUAUUAAAUGCUCAGUAUUUAAAUGAAA
Acanthopagrus latus (yellowfin seabream) is the source of this 1050-nucleotide long non-coding RNA. RefSeq lists it as uncharacterized. The record is from RefSeq and is a predicted model, not a curated record. Lineage: Eukaryota; Metazoa; Chordata; Actinopteri; Spariformes; Sparidae. The transcript is spliced from 3 exons.